This 1424-nucleotide long non-coding RNA is filed under the name Fragaria vesca (wild strawberry). RNAcentral describes it as "long non-coding RNA (FVES_LNC000366)". The record is from RNAcentral. Lineage: Eukaryota; Viridiplantae; Streptophyta; Magnoliopsida; Rosales; Rosaceae.
UACAUAGAAGCAAAAUUAACAAAAAUCUCGUGAAAUAAGGUGUGUUCAGAACGGUGAAAUAUGGCUAUGGUUCAAAAAUCACGUAAAUCGGGUAACGGCUCUGAUGUAGAACAGUCGAAACCCGAUAUGUUUCAGAUUUGGCGUUCGGUGUCCGAUUGACUAUUGUGAGACCUUCCUGAAGCGUAACAGCCCUACGAGUCAAACUCAUGGCUUUUCCAUGAAAUAUGAGCCUUUUUGGCUAUCCGAGUCCGUUUAGAGCUUCAAAAUGCAGUUUUCUUAUUUCCAAUUAGAGUUAACCGUUUUCGAUCGAGCCUUUAACGUUGUCGAAUCCAGUUAAAUUUUUUACCAUAGACAUCUUUCGUCAUAAUGAUCAUAUCUAACGGUCGAAUUUUGGUUUGUAAAUUUUAGUCAUCGGAAUCACAACGUGUCUACUAAUGUUGUAUAACUUGUUUAAUAGGUUAUACAACAUAGGAAGCAAAAUUAUCAAAAAUCUUGUGAAAUAAGAUGUGUUCAGAAUGGUGAAAUACGGCUAUGGUUCAAAAAUCACAUAAACCGGGUAACGUCUCGGUGUCGAUAGUAGCGGUCAACCCUAUUUACCGUUAUUAUUCCCUAUGGGGAGCCCUAUCGUCGGAAAGUAUAUGUCUCAAAAUUUUUAUAUGGGCAGUUGCGUCUCAUCUACAUGAGAGUUUUUCAUGUGGAAGGUUUGACCAAACUAUGUAAUAUAGAGGGAGAUAUGAGCGUUUUCAUGUGAUAAGUGACGAUGGAUUAGGGUUGACCGUUUCGAUCGAGCCUUUAACGUUGUCGGAUCCUGUUGAAUUUUUUACCACAGACAUCUUUCAUCAUAAUGAUCAUAUCUGACUGUCGAAUUUUGGUUUGUGAAUUUUAGUCAUCAGAAUCACAACGUGUCUUCUAAUGUUAUAUAACUUGUUUAGUAGGUUGUACAACUUUGUGAACCAACUCUACAUAGGAAGCAAAAUUAUCAAAAAUCUCGUGAAAUAAGAUGUGUUCAGAAUGGUGAAAUACGGCUAUGGUUCAAAAAUCACGUAAAUCGGGUAACAUCUCGGUGCUGAUAGUAGCGGUCAACCCUAUUUACCGUUAUUAUUUCCUAUGAGGAGCCCUAUCGUCGGAAGGUAAAUGUCUCAAAAUUUUUAUAUAGGCGGUUGCGUCUCAUCUACGUAAAAGUUUUUCGUGUGGAAGGUUUGACCAAACUACGUAAUAUAGAGGGAGAUAUGAGCGUUUUCGUGAAUUUAUAGACUUUAGGCGACGAGAUAUUAAAAAAGUCGUCGGCUAAGGUCAAAUUUUUUGGCGGCAAACCAAAUUUGGGGGAAAAUUUUCAAAGGACUUAAACGGACGAAAAUAUAUGAUUUCGUCGGCUAUUGCCAAAAAAAUUUUGGCGGUCAACCAAAAUUUUCAAAAGAGUNNNN